RNAcentral lists this ribosomal RNA (207 nucleotides) under uncultured bacterium. RNAcentral's name for it is "partial 16S ribosomal RNA". It matches the Rfam family "Bacterial small subunit ribosomal RNA", at positions 568 to 774 of the family's 1533-position model. The record is from RNAcentral.
UGCGUAGGUGGCGCUGUAAGUCAGGUGUGAAAUUUCGAAGCUUAACUCCGAAACUGCAUUUGAUACUGCGGUGCUUGAGGACUGGAGAGGAGACUGGAAUUCACGGUGUAGCAGUGAAAUGCGUAGAGAUCGUGAGGAAGACCAGUGGCGAAGGCGGGUCUCUGGACAGUUCCUGACACUGAGGCACGAAGGCCAGGGGAGCAAACG